CCUACGGGUGGCAGCAGUGGGGGAUAUUGCACAAUGGGGGAAACCCUGAUGCAGCGACGCCGCGUGGGUGAAGAAGUAUUUCGGUAUGUAAAGCCCUAUCAGCAGGGAAGAAAGAAAACGGUACCUGACUAAGAAGCCCCGGCUAACUACGUGCCAGCAGCCGCGGUAAUACGUAGGGGGCGAGCGUUAUCCGGAUUCACUGGGUUUAAAGGGUGCGUAGGCGGGAUGCCAAGUCAGCGGUAAAAUCGCGGGGCUCAACCUCGCUCCGCCGUUGAAACUGGCGUUCUUGAGUGGGCGAGAAGUAUGCGGAAUGCGUGGUGUAGCGGUGAAAUGCAUAGAUAUCACGCAGAACUCCGAUUGCGAAGGCAGCAUACCGGCGCCCAACUGACGCUGAAGCACGAAAGCGGGGGUAUCGAACAGGAUUAGAUACCCCAGUAGUC
RNAcentral lists this ribosomal RNA (440 nucleotides) under uncultured bacterium. Its description in RNAcentral is "partial 16S ribosomal RNA". It matches the Rfam family "Bacterial small subunit ribosomal RNA", at positions 338 to 795 of the family's 1533-position model. The record is from RNAcentral.